Molecule: long non-coding RNA, 912 nt
Organism: Salvia miltiorrhiza (redroot sage)
Lineage: Eukaryota; Viridiplantae; Streptophyta; Magnoliopsida; Lamiales; Lamiaceae
Exons: 2
Source: RefSeq, a predicted model, not a curated record
GGGAACUCAGUUUUUGAGCUAUAAGAUCCACAAGAAAGUAAAUGAUGAUAAACAUCACCUGAUGUUUGAAUUACUAUGCCAUGUCCAUAUUAAUCUAAUAUAAUAUAAAUAUCUAGAAGAGGCCCAUCCAGGCACAUCAAGCUUCACUUACCAAAUGCUGAAAGGAAGAAGCAGAGGAGUAACAGUAGCACGAAAGAAUGAAGAAAUAAAAAAAUUAUGACAAAGGCAGACUCCUUAAUUGCAGCUCUUGGUCGAACUUAGUUUGUGGUAUACUGGUAUUCAUUUUCUAUCUUUGGAAGAUCUUCUGUAUUUGUGUACCCUUUCUUCCCAUAUGAUGUCCAUUUGGUAACCCUUGGCUAGAAGUAUAUUAAGUCAAUUCCUUUUACAUCAUGACAUUUAAUUUCAUUCUCUCAUACUAUACAUGAAAAAGAAAUCCCAGAGAGAAAAGACCACUGAAGAAACAGAAGAUUAUUGGUUAUUGCAGUCCCGAUUUUAUGGUGAUUCCACAUCUAGAAACACGACCAUAUGCCCUGACAUCUCCAAUCUCUGAUAUCCUGCAUGCUGUUCCCAAGUGGACUGGAAAAUGAACUUCUAUAGAGAUGUGAACACUUAGUGGUACCCGUGGCUAGGAAUAUACAGCUGUAGAGCCAUGCAAGAAUUCACAUUGAACCAGACAUGAAAUAUAGGAGCAAGCCAGUCCACCAGGAUGAAUGGAAGGCAAUAUUGCUGAACAGAGAAGUCAUAAUUUCUGUCCUAAAGUAGCAGUCCUAUUACAUGCACAACUGACUUGCAGAUAGCCUAAUAUGAAUUAGUUAGAUUGAAGCCAUUUUAGGAAGAUUUCAUGUCAUUUUAACUGUUUCAAACAUUUAUCAAGUCUAUGAUGAAGCCAAGCCAAUGAAACUAAUCAAUUUU